UAAAGGUAUUCCGGUAGACGAUGGGGAUGCGUUCCAUUAGAUAGUAGGCGGGGUAACGGCCCACCUAGUCUUCGAUGGAUAGGGGUUCUGAGAGGAAGGUCCCCCACAUUGGAACUGAGACACGGUCCAAACUCCUACGGGAGGCAGCAGUGAGGAAUAUUGGUCAAUGGGCGAGAGCCUGAACCAGCCAAGUAGCGUGAAGGAUGACUGCCCUAUGGGUUGUAAACUUCUUUUAUAAAGGAAUAAAGUCGGGUAUGGAUACCCGUUUGCAUGUACUUUAUGAAUAAGGAUCGGCUAACUCCGUGCCAGCAGCCGCGGUAAUACGGAGGAUCCGAGCGUUAUCCGGAUUUAUUGGGUUUAAAGGGAGCGUAGAUGGAUGUUUAAGUCAGUUGUGAAAGUUUGCGGCUCAACCGUAAAAUUGCAGUUGAUACUGGAUAUCUUGAGUGCAGUUGAGGCAGGCGGAAUUCGUGGUGUAGCGGUGAAAUGCUUAGAUAUCACGAAGAACUCCGAUUGCGAAGGCAGCCUGCUAAGCUGCAACUGACAUUGAGGCUCGAAAGUGUGGGUAUCAAACAGGAUUAGAUACCCUGGUAGUCCACACGGUAAACAAUGAAUACUCGCUGUUUGCGAUAUACUGCAA
RNAcentral lists this ribosomal RNA (637 nucleotides) under uncultured bacterium. RNAcentral's name for it is "bacterial SSU rRNA". It matches the Rfam family "Bacterial small subunit ribosomal RNA", at positions 202 to 842 of the family's 1533-position model. The record is from RNAcentral.